RNAcentral lists this ribosomal RNA (408 nucleotides) under uncultured bacterium. RNAcentral describes it as "partial 16S ribosomal RNA". It matches the Rfam family "Bacterial small subunit ribosomal RNA", at positions 28 to 526 of the family's 1533-position model. The record is from RNAcentral.
GACGAACGCUGGCGGCGUGCUUAACACAUGCAAGUCGAACGAAGUGGCGAACGGGUGAGUAACGCGUAAUCAACCUGCCCUUCAGAGGGGGACAACAGUUGGAAACGACUGCUAAUACCGCAUACUGAAGGAGGGGAUUGCGUCUGAUUAGCUAGUUGGAGGGGUAACGGCCCACCAAGGCGAUGAUCAGUAGCCGGGCUGAGAGGAUGCACGGCCACAUAUGGACGGCGUGACGGCCCAGGCUCCUACGGGAGGCAGCAGUGGGGAAUCCUCCGCAAUGGAGUAAAGUCUGACGGAGCAACGCCGCGUGAGUGAUGACGGCCUUCGGGUUGUAAAGCUCUGUUAAGCGGGACGCGGUAGCGGAAUAGAAAGCCACGGCUAACUACGUGCCAGCAGCCGCGGUAAUUC